Molecule: transfer RNA, 67 nt
Filed under: Dinocras cephalotes
Lineage: Eukaryota; Metazoa; Arthropoda; Insecta; Plecoptera; Perlidae
Description: tRNA-Asp
Source: RNAcentral
AAAGAAUUAGUUAAAUUAACAUUAGUAUGUCAUGCUAAAAUUGCUUGUCUUAACCCAGCAUUCUUUG